GAUGAACGCUGGCGGCGUGCUUAACACAUGCAAGUCGAACGAAGCAAUAUAACAGAAGCUCUUCGGAGUGAAAGAUAUAUUGACUGAGUGGCGGACGGGUGAGUAACGCGUGGGUAACCUACCUCAUACAAGGGGAUAACAGUUAGAAAUAGCUGCUAAUACCGUAUAAGCACACAGGACCGCAUGGUCAAGUGUGAAAAACUCCGGUGGUAUGAGAUGGGCCCGCGUCUGAUUAGCUAGUUGGUAAGGUAAUGGCUUACCAAGGCGACGAUCAGUAGCCGACCUGAGAGGGUGAUCGGCCACAUUGGGACUGAGACACGGCCCAAACUCCUACGGGAGGCAGCAGUGGGGAAUAUUGCACAAUGGGGGAAACCCUGAUGCAGCGACGCCGCGUGAAGGAAGACGUAUUUCGGUAUGUAAACUUCUAUCAGCAGGGAAG
Molecule: ribosomal RNA, 439 nt
Filed under: uncultured Lachnospiraceae bacterium
Lineage: Bacteria; Bacillati; Bacillota; Clostridia; Lachnospirales; Lachnospiraceae
Description: bacterial SSU rRNA
Rfam family: Bacterial small subunit ribosomal RNA
Source: RNAcentral